Molecule: long non-coding RNA, 1450 nt
Organism: Daucus carota subsp. sativus
Lineage: Eukaryota; Viridiplantae; Streptophyta; Magnoliopsida; Apiales; Apiaceae
Exons: 3
Source: RefSeq, a predicted model, not a curated record
GAAUAUUCCAAAGCAUAUUCAAGGAAUAUUCUCUUAUCUUCUUCUAUAAAUAUCCUUUACCAGUUUAUUUCGCACGUACAAUCAUUUCGUCAGUUUCUCUGCACGAAUACCGAGAGAAGACGAACGGGUGUUCUUCGUGUUCUUCAUAUUCAAACGAGGAUUUGAAGGCGUUAUUGGAAUCCGAUGGAGGCGUAUAAAUAGUCAAAACGAAGCUCUCGACGCGUAGAAUCUAGUUUAAUCAACCGUAACACUGCAGAUUUCACGGGGUUUGGACGAGACGGAUACGAUCGAAGACGUUCAGAAGGUCAAACGAUGUUACAAAGCGAAUAAGGAACGAAUCGAGUAAACGAAGCAGUGUGGCGAAUAGAGUAUAGCCAAAGAUGGUCUAGAGACUAUGAUAUGCAUAGAGUGUGAAAGUGGAAAGAUGAGAUUGAGAUAUGAGACUGGAAUCGGAUUUAAGGCAAGUUUUCCUAAAUCCUUCCUCAUAUAUAUAUUGCAUGUUCUGAUUAUUCUGUCAAGAUUAUGAUAUUGUUUAUACUGAAACCCUUCUCAAAUAAACUCCUACUUCUGAGCAUGAAACCAUGAUUGUUUUCUUCUUCCAAGUUUUGAAAAGCUAAACACCUAAUUACUCUCAAUUUCUAUUCUGAUCCAUUCUUUCCAAUCCUCAAGAUAUUAAAAAUACCAGCUUUACAAAUUAAUUCGAAGUUCAGACCGUCAUUGAAGCAUGUGUUGCUCAGUGAUAGUCAGAAUCUAGAAUGAACUGGGAUCUUCUUGAUUAUUCAACCCGCCAUUGUCAUGCUGGUUUAGCAGGCUAAAUUCAGUUGUUUAGCCGAUAAUGGAGGAUACUGAAUAGUUAGGAAUUUCCUGAACUAUGAUUUAUCAAAAGACAGGCUGUGGUUUAUGAAAUGUUGAUUCCCAAAAGUUGAUUUGAAAUAUUUCUGUUGUUGAUAAUGAUUAUGAUUCUGUUCUGCUGAUUGAAUUGUCUAUUGAUUUCAAUUGUUAGAAUUGGAUUAGUUUUUAUAAAAUAUGUGGACCAGAUUCGUGGUCAGACCAGAUUCGUGGUCAAUUAUAGGCCAAUGUGUGCCUUGGAUCCAGUAUAGAGAACAGGGUUGUGUGCCAUGUUCGGGGUUAGUGCGUGACUGAUCAGCAGCCUAACCUUUGGUUUUUAAGUAAAAAUGUGAUGAAUCCAAUUCGACAAUUCUUCUAAAAGCUUAAAGAUGAAUUGCAUGAUUGAGAUUGCGAGUAUGGCUAAGGCUAGGCGAGGAGUCAGAGUAUAGAGUAUCCAGAGGACAAGUGGAAUGUCCAGGGAGAUUGUCAAGGUUGGUUCUAGAUAGAAUUGUAUUAAUGAGAUUCAGUUGUAAGUCAUAAUUGGAAUAGAUUACAGUGAUUCUUCUUAUCGAAGAUGAUCUGAGGUUGUAAGAUAAUGUUUAUUAAUAGUGGUUGAUUCUAA